CCUACGGGAGGCAGCAGUGAGGAAUAUUGGUCAAUGGGCGCGAGCCUGAACCAGCCAAGUAGCGUGAAGGAUGACUGCCCUACGGGUUGUAAACUUCUUUUAUAAAGGAAUAAAGUGAGGCACGUGUGCCUUAUUGUAUGUACUUUAUGAAUAAGGAUCGGCUAACUCCGUGCCAGCAGCCGCGGUAAUACGGAGGAUCCGAGCGUUAUCCGGAUUUAUUGGGUUUAAAGGGAGCGUAGGUGGGUUGUUAAGUCAGUUGUGAAAGUUUGCGGCUCAACCGUAAAAUUGCAAUUGAUACUGGCAGUCUUGAGUACAGUUGAGGUAGGCGGAAUUCGUGGUGUAGCGGUGAAAUGCUUAGAUAUCACGAAGAACGCCGAUUGCGAAGGCAGCUUACUAAACUGCCACUGACAUUGAUGCUCGAAAGUGUGGGUAUCAAACAGGAUUAGAUACCCGAGUAGUC
RNAcentral lists this ribosomal RNA (460 nucleotides) under uncultured bacterium. RNAcentral's name for it is "partial 16S ribosomal RNA". It matches the Rfam family "Bacterial small subunit ribosomal RNA", at positions 338 to 795 of the family's 1533-position model. The record is from RNAcentral.